This 497-nucleotide ribosomal RNA is filed under the name uncultured bacterium. RNAcentral's name for it is "partial 16S ribosomal RNA". It matches the Rfam family "Bacterial small subunit ribosomal RNA", at positions 28 to 507 of the family's 1533-position model. The record is from RNAcentral.
GAUGAACGCUGGCGGCGUGCCUAAUACAUGCAAGUCGAGCGAACGGACGAGAAGCUUGCUUCUCUGAUGUUAGCGGCGGACGGGUGAGUAACACGUGGAUAACCUAUCUAUAAGACUGGGAUAACUUCGGGAAACCGGAGCUAAUACCGGAUGAUAUUUUGAACCGCAUGGUUCAAAAGUGAAAGACGGUCUUGCUGUCACUUAUAGAUGGAUCCGCGCUGCAUUAGCUAGUUGGUAAGGUAACGGCUUACCAAGGCAACGAUGCAUAGCCGACCUGAGAGGGGGAUCGGCCACACUGGAACUGAGACACGGUCCAGACUCCUACGGGAGGCAGCAGUAGGGAAUCUUCCGCAAUGGGCGAAAGCCUGACGGAGCAACGCCGCGUGAGUGAUGAAGGUCUUCGGAUCGUAAAACUCUGUUAUUAGGGAAGAACAUAUGUGUAAGUAACUGUGCACAUCUUGACGGUACCUAAUCAGAAAGCCACGGCUAACUACGUG